GACGAACGCUGGCGGCGUGCCUAAUACAUGCAAGUAGAACGCACAGUUUAUACCGUAGCUUGCUACACCAUAGACUGUGAGUUGCGAACGGGUGAGUAACGCGUAGGUAACCUGCCUGGUAGCGGGGGAUAACUAUUGGAAACGAUAGCUAAUACCGCAUAAUAUUAAUUAUUGCAUGAUAAUUAAUUGAAAGGUGCAAUUGCACCACUACCAGAUGGACCUGCGUUGUAUUAGCUAGUAGGUGAGGUAACGGCUCACCUAGGCGACGAUACAUAGCCGACCUGGGAGGGUGAUCCGCCACACUGGGACUGAGACACGGCCCAGACUCCUACGGGAGGCAGCCGUAGGGAAUCUUCGGCAAUGGACGAAAGUCUGACCGAGCAACGCCGCGUGAGUGAAGAAGGUUUUCGGAUCGUAAAGCUCUGUUGUAAGAGAAGAACGGGUGUGAGAGUGGAAAGUUCACACUGUGACGGUAUCUUACCAGAAAGGGACGGCUAACUACGUG
This 505-nucleotide ribosomal RNA is filed under the name uncultured bacterium. RNAcentral's name for it is "partial 16S ribosomal RNA". It matches the Rfam family "Bacterial small subunit ribosomal RNA", at positions 28 to 507 of the family's 1533-position model. The record is from RNAcentral.